This 85-nucleotide microRNA precursor is filed under the name Marmota monax (woodchuck). The record is from RNAcentral. Lineage: Eukaryota; Metazoa; Chordata; Mammalia; Rodentia; Sciuridae.
CUAACUUCCUUCUCCUAGGCCCCGCCUCAUAAAAGUUUCACAACCUCUUGAUAAUGAGGCGGGGCCUAGGAGAAGGAAGUUAGGU